Molecule: ribosomal RNA, 460 nt
Filed under: uncultured bacterium
Lineage: Bacteria
Description: partial 16S ribosomal RNA
Rfam family: Bacterial small subunit ribosomal RNA
Source: RNAcentral
CCUACGGGAGGCAGCAGUGAGGAAUAUUGGUCAAUGGGCGGAAGCCUGAUCCAGCGAAGUAGCGUGCAGGAUGACGGCCCUACGGGUUGUAAACUGCUUUUAUACGGGAAUAACGCGCCUUACGUGUAGGGCUUUGCAUGUACCGUAUGAAUAAGGACCGGCUAAUUCCGUGCCAGCAGCCGCGGCAAUACGGAAGGUCCGGGCGUUGUCCGGAUUUAUUGGGUGUAAAGGGCGCGUAGGCCGCAUGUCAAGCGUGCUGUGAAAUGUCCGGGCUCAACCCGGGCCUUGCAGCGCGAACUGGCGUGCUUGAGUCCGCGGAGGGCAGGCGGAAUUCGUCGUGUAGCGGUGAAAUGCUUAGAUAUGGCGAAGAACCCCGAUUGCGAAGGCAGGUUGCUGCAGCGGAACUGACGCUGAGGCUCGAAAGCGCGGGUAUCGAACGGGAUUAGAUACCCGAGUAGUC